GGUCUUAUAGUUUAAAUAAAACAUUAAAUUGCAAAUUUAAUAAUGAAGUUUUCUAAGACUU
This 61-nucleotide transfer RNA is filed under the name Japananus hyalinus. RNAcentral describes it as "tRNA-Cys". It matches the Rfam family "tRNA". Rfam says of the family: Transfer RNA (tRNA) molecules are approximately 80 nucleotides in length. Their secondary structure includes four short double-helical elements and three loops (D, anti-codon, and T loops). Further hydrogen bonds mediate the characteristic L-shaped molecular structure. tRNAs have two regions of fundamental functional importance: the anti-codon, which is responsible for specific mRNA codon recognition, and the 3' end, to which the tRNAs corresponding amino acid is attached (by aminoacyl-tRNA synthetases). tRNAs cope with the degeneracy of the genetic code in two manners: having more than one tRNA (with a specific anti-codon) for a particular amino acid; and 'wobble' base-pairing, i.e. permitting non-standard base-pairing at the 3rd anti-codon position. The record is from RNAcentral. Lineage: Eukaryota; Metazoa; Arthropoda; Insecta; Hemiptera; Cicadellidae.